This 63-nucleotide transfer RNA is filed under the name Neocerura liturata. RNAcentral describes it as "tRNA-Arg". The record is from RNAcentral. Lineage: Eukaryota; Metazoa; Arthropoda; Insecta; Lepidoptera; Notodontidae.
AAAUAAGAAGCAAUAUUGCAUUUAAUUUCGACUUAAAAGAUAGGGUUAAUUACCCCUUAUUUA